This 460-nucleotide ribosomal RNA is filed under the name uncultured bacterium. Its description in RNAcentral is "partial 16S ribosomal RNA". It matches the Rfam family "Bacterial small subunit ribosomal RNA", at positions 338 to 795 of the family's 1533-position model. The record is from RNAcentral.
CCUACGGGAGGCAGCAGUGAGGAAUAUUGGUCAAUGGACGCAAGUCUGAACCAGCCAUGCCGCGUGCAGGAAGACGGCUCUAUGAGUUGUAAACUGCUUUUGUACGAGGGUAAACGCAGAUACGCGUAUCUGUCUGAAAGUAUCGUACGAAUAAGGAUCGGCUAACUCCGUGCCAGCAGCAGCGGUAAGACGGAGGAUUCAAGCGUUAUCCGGAUUUAUUGGGUUUAAGGGGUGCGUAGGCGGUCGGAUAAGUCAGAGGUGAAAUCCCGAGGCUCAACUUCGGAAUUGCCUCUGAUACUGUUCGGCGAGAGAGUAGUUGCGGGAGGCGGAAUGUAGGGUGUAGCGGUGAAAUGCUUAGAGAUCAGACAGAACACCGAUGGCGAAGGCAGCUUACCAAGCUACUUCUGACGUUGAGGCACGAAAGCGUGGGGAGCAAACAGGAUUAGAUACCCCAGUAGUC